CAACCGAGAUGAACAUUGUCCCCAAUGUUUCUAUCGAAAAAGACGAGGAAGGAAUGAUAUACCUUAUGGUGAUGUGGUAUUCAAGGCGUGUGAGUGCAUCCACAUGAUUCAAAAACCAUAAGAAACGUGAGAGAGGAAAUAAGAUACAAAAAAUGAUGCUUAUAUAAACUGAGAGAGUUGAGUACAAGAUAUAAGCAUGAGGUACAUACAAUCUCAGAAUAUAAAACAUGUAUCAUAUACAAAAAACAUAUACAAAAUGGAGAUAGAAAUAUCCAAUCAUGGAUGUGGCUCCUGAGGUGGAGGAGGUGAUAUGCCCAGGUGAUGGUGGAUCUGAGAGAGCAUGGCG
Molecule: long non-coding RNA, 346 nt
Filed under: Vitis vinifera (wine grape)
Lineage: Eukaryota; Viridiplantae; Streptophyta; Magnoliopsida; Vitales; Vitaceae
Description: long non-coding RNA (VVIN_LNC006130)
Source: RNAcentral